GAUCAGCAUUUUGAACUUAUGCCUCAGGAAGCACAGUCGGUGUCUUUCACUCAGUUAUUGCUUGUGAAGUGGAGCAAAAAAUGAAACCCACUGAGGACUGGGUGGCAGGACUCUGGUUUCUCCCCUGGCUUAGCUGUUGUGCUGUUCUGGAAGGACACAGAUGCACAUCUAACAAAAGCCUCCAAAACAGUUUGCAGAUGACAGCAGGAGAGGCUGGGCAGGAGCGUUGGCAGCACCUGGUGGGAUACGCUGGUAGAGAGCUCCAGCCUUGAAACUGAGCACUGUACAGGUGUGAUGUGUACUCGGGCUCAGGGGGGUUCAGCUCCUGGUUCCAGCCGUGGGAAGUGG
Long non-coding RNA from Athene cunicularia (burrowing owl), 348 nucleotides. RefSeq lists it as uncharacterized. NCBI's taxonomy places the organism in Eukaryota, Metazoa, Chordata, Aves, Strigiformes, Strigidae. The record is from RefSeq and is a predicted model, not a curated record. The transcript has 4 exons.